GAUGAAGAACGUAGCGAAAUGCGAUAAGUAGUGUGAAUUGCAGAAUUCAGUGAAUCAUCGAAUCUUUGAACGCACAUUGCGCCCCUUGGUAUUCCAUGGGGCAUGCCUGUUCGAGCGUCAUUUGUACCUUCAAGCUUUGCUUGGUGUUGGGUGUUUGUCCUGAGGGACUCGCCUUAAAGUAAUUGGCAGCCAGUGUUUGGUUUUGAAGCGCAGCACAAGUCGCGAUUCAAAGCUAUACGCCCGCUUCCACAAGCCUUUUUCACUUUUGACCUCGGAUCAGGUAGGGAUACCCGCUGAACUUAAGCAUAUCAAUAAGCGAGGA
This 322-nucleotide unclassified non-coding RNA is filed under the name soil metagenome. RNAcentral's name for it is "partial contains 5.8S ribosomal RNA, internal transcribed spacer 2, and large subunit ribosomal RNA". The stretch from base 1 to 120 matches the Rfam family "5.8S ribosomal RNA", at positions 35 to 154 of the family's 154-position model. The record is from RNAcentral.